CCCUUAGAUGUUCUGGGCCGCACGCGCGCUACACUGACGAUGGCAACGAGUUUUUCCUUCGCCGAAAGGUGUGGGUAAUCUUUUGAAACAUCGUCGUGCUGGGGAUAGAUCAUUGCAAUUUUUGAUCUUGAACGAGGAAUUCCUAGUAAGCGCGAGUCAUCAGCUCGCGUUGAUUACGUCCCUGCCCUUUGUACACACCGCCCGUCGCUACUACCGAUUGAACGUUUUAGUGAGGUAUUUGGACUGGGCCUUGGGAGGUUUCGGCCUCCCUUGUUGCUCGGAAAGACUCCCAAACUUGAGCGUUUAGAGGAAGUAAAAGUCGUAACA
RNAcentral lists this ribosomal RNA (327 nucleotides) under uncultured eukaryote. RNAcentral's name for it is "partial 18S ribosomal RNA". It matches the Rfam family "Eukaryotic small subunit ribosomal RNA", at positions 1470 to 1796 of the family's 1831-position model. The record is from RNAcentral.